UCUGGUGAUGAUGGUUUUGAGGGUAACACUCCUUACCAUACCGAACAGGCAAGUUAAGCCUCAAGACGCCGAUAGUACUGCACGGGAAGCUGUGUGGGAGGGUAGGUUGUCGCCAGGUA
This 119-nucleotide ribosomal RNA is filed under the name Clostridium ihumii. The record is from RNAcentral. Lineage: Bacteria; Bacillati; Bacillota; Clostridia; Eubacteriales; Clostridiaceae.